This 253-nucleotide ribosomal RNA is filed under the name uncultured bacterium. RNAcentral's name for it is "partial 16S ribosomal RNA". It matches the Rfam family "Bacterial small subunit ribosomal RNA", at positions 524 to 776 of the family's 1533-position model. The record is from RNAcentral.
UACGUAGGGUGCAAGCGUUAAUCGGAAUUACUGGGCGUAAAGCGUGCGCAGGCGGCUUUGCAAGACAGAUGUGAAAUCCCCGGGCUCAACCUGGGAACUGCAUUUGUGACUGCAAGGCUAGAGUACGGCAGAGGGGGAUGGAAUUCCGCGUGUAGCAGUGAAAUGCGUAGAUAUGCGGAGGAACACCAAUGGCGAAGGCAAUCCCCUGGGCCUGUUCUGACGCUCAUGCACGAAAGCGUGGGGAGCAAACAGG